AUAUCAGAAGGCACACCCGGAGAACUGAAACAUCUUAGUACCCGGAGGAAGAGAAAGAAAAUUCGAUUCCCUUAGUAGCGGCGAGCGAAACGGGAAGAGCCCAAACCAACAAGCUUGCUUGUUGGGGUUGUAGGACACUCUAUACGGAGUUACAAAGGACGACAUUAGACGAAUCAUCUGGAAAGAUGAAUCAAAGAAGGUAAUAAUCCUGUAGUCGAAAAUGUUGUCUCUCUUGAGUGGAUCCUGAGUACGACGGAGCACGUGAAAUUCCGUCGGAAUCUGGGAGGACCAUCUCCUAAGGCUAAAUACUCUCUAGUGACCGAUAGUG
Molecule: ribosomal RNA, 328 nt
Filed under: Staphylococcus aureus
Lineage: Bacteria; Bacillati; Bacillota; Bacilli; Caryophanales; Staphylococcaceae
Description: partial 23S ribosomal RNA
Rfam family: Bacterial large subunit ribosomal RNA
Source: RNAcentral